Molecule: long non-coding RNA, 452 nt
Filed under: Podarcis lilfordi (Lilford's wall lizard)
Lineage: Eukaryota; Metazoa; Chordata; Lepidosauria; Squamata; Lacertidae
Source: RNAcentral
UUUUUUAUAAUUGAUAUUUAUUAAGUUUUCAAAGAAUAACAACAAAAAUUUCCAAAAAAUUUUGAAAAUACAAAAAACAAAAAUAGUACAUAAACAAAAAAGAAAAGAAAACCCAGCCGCAAAGAAAAAAAAGAAAAACAGAAAAACAAAAAUAUAAAGUCCUUUACAAUCUCUAUUUACUUCCUUUCUAGACUUCCUCCUCCUCCCCUCUCUUGUUUCUUAAUUUUUAAUUUUUACAGCAAAUCCUUUCUGUUUUUUCAUAACAAUCUGUCAUUACGUUUCCUUAUUCUAUUUUCCCUCUUGUCAUAUAAAAACUUUAAAACUCAUAGCUUAUAUUCGAUAUUUACCAAAUUCUUACAUCAUUACCUUUUUACGAAUCAUUUACCAAUCCUUACUUAAGCCAUGUAAUUUCAUUCAACAUCCUUCAAACAUUUAUAAACAUUCCCAAUAUU